AAUACUUUUUUUUUCUAAGACGGAUUUUUUCCCAUCUACAAUUAAAAAAAGUGAAUUUUCUUCAAUAAGAAAUUGUAAAAUCCUGACGGACGUCACUUGUCUUUUGUGUGAAUUUUUACUUAGGCCUAAGCACAUGAAAGACAAUCUAAUAUAUUAAAUUUUUAAUAUUCAUGUAUCGAGCAAGAAUUGCAACAAUAUUAAUCAUAAAUUAGCGAAUUUUUUGUUGUAUGUCAGCAUUCAUGCUUGGUAGUAGUAGCAGCAAUAAUGGCUAAUAAUGAGUUUUCUCGUGAUUUUAAGAUUCAGUUCUUUGGCUAAAAGUAUUUUUUUUAUUUUUAAAUGUUGAAAAUGAUUUCUUACAAAGAAUUAGAUAGGAAAUAUUUUUUUUUUAUUCUCUCACUGUUGAACGUUAGGUGAUGACGUCACGAGACUGAUGGCGGCUGAGUUGGGGCUGAUACAGCAAAGAAAAAAACACACGGAAUGGUAAAGGCUUCCAUUGCUCUCUGAUAAUGUUGAAUAAAAGUUCGGUUCUGAAAAAUACGUUUUAUCUAGUGUCAUCAGAUCAUCAACAGGCCGCUAACUGCCCCGUCUGGUCGUGUGGCCAAAAUUUGAGUGCAAGAGAACCUGUGGUGCUAUCCCGACUCCAGCUCUCUAGAUAGAUAAGAACAUAGGAGUGUACACGCUGCUGUCUGUGAACUGGUGAGAUCUCUGUCUGUCUGUCUCUCAGGAGUCUCUCAGGACCCACCACAGUAGCUGCCAACAUAAGAGACAAUCAAGG
Non-coding RNA from Cherax quadricarinatus, 775 nucleotides. The record is from RefSeq and is a predicted model, not a curated record. NCBI's taxonomy places the organism in Eukaryota, Metazoa, Arthropoda, Malacostraca, Decapoda, Parastacidae.